RNAcentral lists this long non-coding RNA (2553 nucleotides) under Numida meleagris (helmeted guineafowl). RNAcentral describes it as "lncRNA (ENSNMEG00000001419.1)". Lineage: Eukaryota; Metazoa; Chordata; Aves; Galliformes; Numididae. The record is from RNAcentral.
CCCAUUGAUCAUUUCCCAUUGAUCAUCUCCCACUGAUCGUUUCCCAUUGAUCAUUCCCCAUUCAUCAUUUCCCAUUCAUCAUUUCCCAUUCAUCAUUUCCCAUUGAUCAUUUCCCAUUGGUCAUUCCCCAUUGAUCAUUUCCCAUUGAUCAUUUCCCCAUUGAUCAUUUCCCCAUUGAUCAUUUCCCAUUCAUCAUUUCCCAUUGAUCAUUUCCCAUUGAUCAUUCCCCAUUGAUCAUCUCCCAUUCAUCAUUUCCCAUUGAUCAUUUCCCAUUGAUCAUUUCCCCAUUGAUCAUUUUCCAUUCAUCAUUUCCCAUUGAUCAUUUUCCAUUCAUCAUUUCCCAUUGAUCAUUUCCCACUGAUUAUUCCCCAUUGAUCAUUCCCCAUUCAUCAUUUCCCAUUGAUCAUCUCCCAUUGAUCAUCUCCCAUUGAUCAUGUCCCAUUGAUCAUGUCCCAUUCAUCAUUUCCCAUUGAUCAUUUCCCAUUGAUCAUUCCCCAUUGAUCAUUUCCCAUUGAUCAUUUCCCAUUGAUCAUUCCCCAUUGAUCAUGUCCCAUUGAUCAUCUCCCAUUCAUCAUUUCCCAUUGAUUGUUUCCCAUAGAUCACUUCCCAUUGAUUAUUUCCCACUGAUCAUCUCUCAUUGAUCAUCUCCUAUUGAUCAUCUCCCACUGAUCAUCUCUCAUUGAUCAUUUCCCAUUCAUCAUUUCCCAUUCAUCAUUUCCCAACAUUUCAGACUUCAUUUGGGACCCCAUUUGGAACCACAUUCGGGGCCUCAUUUGGGACCAAUUUGGGAUCAUUUUGAGAUGAGUUUGGGAUCCCAUUUCAGACCCCAUUCGGGACCAGUUUGGGACCAGUUUGGGACCCCAUUUGGGACCAGUUUGGGAUCAGUUUGUGUCCCCAUUUGGGGUCAAUUUGGGACCCCAUUUCCAGCCCCAUUUGGGGUCAAUUUGGGACCAGUUUGGGACCCCAUUUGGGGUGAAUUUGGGACCAGAUUGGGACCCCAUUUCAAACCCCAUUUGGGACCAGUUUGGGAUCAGUUUGCAUCCCCAUUUGGGACCAGUUUGGAACUCCAUUUCCAGCCCCAUUUGGGGUCAAUUUGGGACCAGUUUGGGACCAGUUUGGGAUCAGUUUGUGUCCCCAUUUGGGGUCAGUUUGGGACCCCAUUUCCGUCCCCAUUUGGGGUCAAUUUGGGACCAGUUUGGGACUCCAUCUGGGGUCAAUUUGGGACCCCAUUUCCGGCCCCAUUUGGGGUCAAUUUGGGACCAGUUUGGGACCAGUUUGCGUCCCCAUUUGGGACCAGUUUGGGACCCCAUUUCCGGCCCCAUUUGGGAUCAGUUUGUGUCCCCAUUUCCGGCCCCAUUUCCGGCCCCAUUCAGGCCCCAUUUGGGGCCGUGCUGGGGCGGCUGCGGCUGUUGCACAAGCGCCGUGCGCUCUUGUGUGUGCACACGCGCGUGUGUGUGUGUGUGUGUGUGCGCGCCCCCCCCCCCCAGCGUUGCACAACCGCCGCCGUCCCCGCACGUGAGCGCGGCUCGGGGCACACGUGGGCGGCCCCGUGAGUGCACAAGGAACCGGGGGGGGGGUGGGGUGGAGGGGGCGGCCCCGUGUCCUCGUGCGCGUCCUCGUGUGUCACCAAGCCCCGUGCGAGGCCUCGUGGGGGGGGGGGGUGGCGCAGGUCCCCGUGUCCCCGUGUGGGUCACCAGUGUGGGGACCCCAGAGCGCUGUGCCCCAUAGCGCUGUCCCCAUAGCAACGCCCCAUAGCGCUGUGCCCCAUAGCGCUGUGUCUAUAGUGAUGUCCCCAUAGCACUGUGCCCCAUAGCGCUGUGCCCCAUAGCACUGUACCCAUAGCGCUGUGCCCCAUAGCAUUGUCCCAUAGCACUGUGCCCCAUAGCGCUGUGCCCCAUAGCGAUGCCCCAUAGCGCUGCCCCAUAGCACAGUCCCCCUAGCGAUGCCUCAUAGUGAUGCCCCAUAGCGCUGUGCCCAUAGCGCUGUGCCCCAUAGCGCUGUGCCCCAUAGCAAUGCCCCAUAGCGCUGUCCCCAUAGCGCUGUGCCCCAUAGCAUUGUCCCAUAGCACUGUGCCCCAUAGCGCUGUCCCCAUAGUGCCCCAUAGCGCUGUGUCUAUAGUGAUGUCCCCAUAGCACUGUGCCCCAUAGCGCUGUGCCCCAUAGCAAUGCCCCAUAGCGCUGUCCCCAUAGUGCCCCAUAGCACUGUGUCUAUAGUGAUGUCCCCAUAGCACUGUGCCCCAUAGCACUGUGCCCCACAGCGCCGUGUCCCGCAUCUCCGUGCCCCAUAGCUCCGUGCCCCACAGCUCCGUGCCCCACAGCACUGUGUCCCGCAUCUCCGUGCCCCAUAGCUCCAUGCCCCAUAGCGCUGUGCCCCACAGCUCCGUGCCCCACAGCUCCGUGCCCCGUAGCGCUGUGCCCCACAGCUCCGUGCCCCCCAGCGCCGUGCCCCACAGCUCCGUGCCCCCCAGCGCCGUGCCCCACAGCUCCGUGCUCCACAGCUCCGUGCCCCACAGCUCCGUGCCCCACAGCUCUGUGCCCCAUAGCACUGUGCCCC